Long non-coding RNA from Mustela lutreola (European mink), 1362 nucleotides. RefSeq lists it as uncharacterized. The transcript is spliced from 3 exons. The record is from RefSeq and is a predicted model, not a curated record. Lineage: Eukaryota; Metazoa; Chordata; Mammalia; Carnivora; Mustelidae.
AAGCCCAGAAGCACGGUUAUGUGUUUGUCUUGGCACCGACUUCAACUGAGUAAUUUUGGAAAGGGCAAUUCCGGCAGAGGACAAACUGGGAGUGUGGGGCAUUGUAAGCAGUUUGUAUUUCAGGAGCAGGGAGAUGGGAGCCAGGCAGCAGGAGUCAGCUCACGGAGGACGGCUUCAUAUACCACGCGGACCUUGGAUUUUGCCCUCUCAGUAGCAGAUGAGAAGUCACUGAGGACUUUAAGCAAGGAGUAACAUGGAAAUAUUUGCAUUUUGAAAGGUUUCUGGAUGACCCCAGGGAAAACAAAGAGAGAAGGGAGAGGGGAAAACCCCGGUUGAGUACCAUGGAAGCUGCAUGCCGGGUGGUGACAAGUGUCACGGCAUUCACCCUUCCAACAGCAGCCUGACCACCAAACCACGACCCAGGAAAGAUGGUGCCCGAGAGGCUGUCUGUGCUCUGAGAUAAAGCCAGCGGCUAGAGGUCAGACACAAUGGACCUUUCUCAGUGUUCACCCAUGAGCGCUCCUGGCAAGGACCUCGAAAGAGUGACAGCUCUCAUCACCUCCCCUAAGCGCAGAGAUGGGAAUGGAGCUUGGCCCAGGUCCCCAACGGCAGGAACAGACGCCACCACCAUCCAGCUCAGCCCUGGGAGAUGGUUCAACGGCAGGGUCGUCUUCGCUCGAGAUAGACCGAAGAGCUCAGCUUUGCAGUUUUUUUAUCUUGAUGACAGAUGUGCUCUUUUUAAAAUGUCACAGAACAAGCAGAACUCUAAACGAUGCUGCCUGCUUUUCUGUGGCUCAUUCUCAGGACCUUUUGACAGUUCCAAUAUGUCUGUGCUCUUGAGAAAUGGAUUUGGGACAGAGACAGUGAGAGCCGUCGCUGGAACUCACUGAGGGUCUGCUGGAAAGGCGUAAAAGCCCAAGGGCCAGGGCUGGCGCGGCUCCAGGGAAGGCGGACUGGGAGACAAUGCCGCUCAACUUCACAGUGGGUUUCUGUGCUGAUACUUGUUUGGCCGGAGAGCAACACGUUGGACUGUGCUUUUUGAUGACAACUGACCAGAAGUCUGGUUACCUCGCAAGGAAAUUCUAUGACGUUUCAGUGAUAUUUAGAAGACUUCUCACAACACAUGGUCAAGUUAAAAAUAACAGUUCAGGGGUGCCUGGGUGGCUCCAUCAUUAAGCAUCUGCCUUUGGCUCAGGUCAUGAUCUCAGGGUCCUGGGAUCGGGCCCCACGUUGGGCUUCCUGCUCUGCUGGGAAGCCUGUUUCCCCCUCACCCACUCCCCCUGCUUGGGCUCCCUCUGUCGCUGUGUCUCUCUCUCUCUCUGUCAAAUAAAUAAAUAAAUAAAAUCUUUUAAUUAAAAAAAA